Molecule: long non-coding RNA, 846 nt
Filed under: Oryza brachyantha (malo sina)
Lineage: Eukaryota; Viridiplantae; Streptophyta; Magnoliopsida; Poales; Poaceae
Description: long non-coding RNA (OBRA_LNC000211)
Source: RNAcentral
AUGGAAAUAAUAAAGAAACAGGAGAAUAUAGGUUUCUUGCGACCCUGAAAUUACAAUACACAUUACAGGACUGUUUCACACGCACUGCUAGCAGAGAAAAUCUGACACAAAAGAUGAGUACUAUUCAGUAAUUAAGUUCAAAUAUAAAACAGGAAUAUAUAGAUACAGGUUCAAGUUCCUACUCACUAGCAAUACUGGUAGAAUACAAUAAGCAGAGACAGAGACGAGAAAUUUAGGAAGUAAAGAAAAGGGGGGAUUACAUGCAUUACAAAGUGUAACUGAUGCAUUCUAGGCUCAAGACUUUCUCCAACUCUUCACACUAUGUUACUCAAGAAGGCUGUUAAGAUGUCUGAACAUCACAAACAAGCUCCACACCAAGAAUGCGUCACUUACAGCCUCUCAAUACACCCAAAAAAAAUAUCAAGCAGAAUCAAAACAAAACAAAACAUGAGAGUAAUCUAGGACUAAUAAGAAGCUAAUUAAUUAAGAUACCUAGAGAUAUUUAUAUAUCUCGGACCAUGACGCCUCAAUUCCCCAAACGCUCACACUGCCCGUUUGCCCCCUCAUGCUCCGCAGUAGCUAGAGAUAGCUCGCGGAGCAGAAGGAGAUCGCGGUGAGCUAGAGCUCGAAUGCAAGAUGCUCCCCAACUUCUCUCCUAUCUGUGAGGCUCAUUUCCCUUCAACAAAUCGUCGAAUGCUAGCCAGGAGGCGACAGCAGCAGCAGCAGCAGCACCAGUGAGCUCCAUUGGGGCAGGAAGAUGAGCAGCAGGAUGAGGCAUUUCCAUGAGACGAAAGGAGGUCUCGCUUUGCGAGUUCAGUGCAAGGGCUGUGAGAAGUAGAAGAAGAC